AGUGAACGCUGGCGGUAGGCCUAACACAUGCAAGUCGAACGGCAGCACAGUAAGAGCUUGCUCUUACGGGUGGCGAGUGGCGGAAGGGUGAGGAAUACAUCGUAAUCUACUUUUUCGUGUGGGAUAACGUAGGUAAACUUACUCUAAUACCGCAUACGACCUACGGGUGAAAGCAGGGGAUCUUCGGACCUGGCGCGAUUGAAUGAGCCGCUGUCGGAGUAGCUAGUUGGCGGGGUAAAGGCCCACCAAGGCGGCGAUCCGUAGCUGGUCUGAGUGGAUGAUAGCCCACCUUGGAGCUGGGCCAGGCUCCAGACUCCUACGGGAGGCAGCAGUCGGGAAUAUUGGACAAUGGUCGCAAGCAUUAUCCAACCAUACCGAGUCGGUGGCGAAAACGUUCGGGUUGUAAAGCCCUUCUGUUGGGUAAGAACCGCAUCCGCUUAAUACCCAGCUGUUCUGACGGUACUCAAUGAAUAAGCACCGGCUAACUUCGUG
Molecule: ribosomal RNA, 492 nt
Filed under: uncultured bacterium
Lineage: Bacteria
Description: partial 16S ribosomal RNA
Rfam family: Bacterial small subunit ribosomal RNA
Source: RNAcentral